Molecule: ribosomal RNA, 471 nt
Filed under: uncultured bacterium
Lineage: Bacteria
Description: bacterial SSU rRNA
Rfam family: Bacterial small subunit ribosomal RNA
Source: RNAcentral
UGGGGAAUUGUUCGCAAUGGGCGCAAGCCUGACGACGCAACGCCGCGUGGAGGAUGAAGGUCUUCGGAUUGUAAACUCCUGUUGAUCGGGACGAAAAGCUUCAACCUAAUACGUUGAAGACUGACGGUACCGGUUGAGGAAGCCACGGCUAACUCUGUGCCAGCAGCCGCGGUAAUACAGAGGUGGCAAGCGUUGUUCGGAAUUACUGGGCGUAAAGGGCGCGUAGGCGGCCUCCUAAGUCGGACGUGAAAGCCCCAGGCUUAACCUGGGAACUGCGUCCGAUACUGGGAGGCUUGGAUUCGGGAGAGGGAUGUGGAAUUCCAGGUGUAGCGGUGAAAUGCGUAGAUAUCUGGAGGAACACCGGUGGCGAAGGCGGCAUCCUGGACCGAGAUCGACGCUGAGGCGCGAAAGCUAGGGGAGCAAACGGGAUUAGAUACCCCGGUAGUCCCUGAGCGGGCUGGCAAGGCGCAU